CACGUAGGGCCCGAGCGUUGUCCGGAGUUACUGGGCGUAAAGCGCGCGCAGGCGGCCCCCUAAGUCCGGCGUGAAAGCCCCCGGCUCAACCGGGGAGGGUCGCCGGGGACUGGGGGGCUCGAGGGCGGCAGGGGCCGGUGGAAUGCCCGGUGUAGUGGUGAAAUGCGUAGAGAUCGGGCGGAACACCCGUGGCGAAGGCGGCCGGCUGGGCCGUCCCUGACGCUGAGGCGCGAAGGCGUGGGGAGCGAACGGG
Molecule: ribosomal RNA, 253 nt
Filed under: uncultured bacterium
Lineage: Bacteria
Description: partial 16S ribosomal RNA
Rfam family: Bacterial small subunit ribosomal RNA
Source: RNAcentral